RNAcentral lists this ribosomal RNA (460 nucleotides) under uncultured bacterium. RNAcentral's name for it is "partial 16S ribosomal RNA". It matches the Rfam family "Bacterial small subunit ribosomal RNA", at positions 338 to 795 of the family's 1533-position model. The record is from RNAcentral.
CCUACGGGAGGCAGCAGUGAGGAAUAUUGGUCAAUGGACGAGAGUCUGAACCAGCCAAGUAGCGUGAAGGAUGACUGCCCUAUGGGUUGUAAACUUCUUUUAUAUGGGAAUAAAAUGUUCCACGUGUGGGAUUUUGUAUGUACCAUAUGAAUAAGGAUCGGCUAACUCCGUGCCAGCAGCCGCGGUAAUACGGAGGAUCCGAGCGUUAUCCGGAUUUAUUGGGUUUAAAGGGAGCGUAGGUGGAUUGUUAAGUCAGUUGUGAAAGUUUGCGGCUCAACCGUAAAAUUGCAGUUGAAACUGGCAGUCUUGAGUACAGUAGAGGUGGGCGGAAUUCGUGGUGUAGCGGUGAAAUGCUUAGAUAUCACGAAGAACUCAGAUUGCGAAGGCAGUUCACUGGACUGCAACUGACACUGAGGCUCGAAAGUGUGGGUAUCAAACAGGAUUAGAUACCCCAGUAGUC